GAAUAUAAAAUUUUGUUGUUGUAAACUUUCUUUGUUUCGUUCAUAUUUCCUUUCGAACUUGUCAAAGUAUUGAUGUUUACUAGUUAACUUUCAUAAUGAAAUAAAAGUAUCUUCUUAUUUCAUUAUUUCUUUCAAAUGGUUUGGAUUGAAGGAGAAACCCUUGUUUUUAUUUUGAUGUGGCUGAACUUGGAAUUAUUUGUCCAAGUUGCCUACGUACCCUCAAUGAAAAGGGAUUGAGUCAUCAUGUAGUUCAAAGGGAUUUUU
Molecule: long non-coding RNA, 264 nt
Filed under: Prunus persica (peach)
Lineage: Eukaryota; Viridiplantae; Streptophyta; Magnoliopsida; Rosales; Rosaceae
Description: long non-coding RNA (PPER_LNC006960)
Source: RNAcentral